ACGGACGUGCACGUGGUUUAUGACACCUUCGUGAAGCCUGACAACGAGAUCGUGGACUACAACACCAGGUUUUCGGGGGUGACGGAGGCUGACCUUGCCGACACAAGUGUCACGCUGCGUGACGUCCAGGCCGUUCUGCUGAGCAUGUUCAGCGCUGACACCAUCCUCAUCGGACACAGCCUGGAGAGCGACCUCCUGGCCCUGAAGGUGCCCUGCCGGCCCGGGUCCCGCGCGGUUCUCCAGCAGGACCUGCGCAGGCCCCACGUGCGCUGAUCUCUGCCGCUGCCCACAGGUCAUCCACAGCACCGUGGUGGACACGUCUGUGCUCUUCCCCCACCGCCUGGGCCUCCCCUACAAGCGGUCCCUGCGGAACCUCAUGGCCGACUACCUCAGACAGAUCAUCCAGGACAAUGGUGAGUGCCGGUGCCUGCCCUGGGGCCGUCCCUGCGCAGGGGCCGGGUGCUCACCGCAUCUGCCCCGCAGUGGAUGGGCACAGCUCCAGCGAGGACGCCGGCGCCUGCAUGCACCUGGUGAUCUGGAAGGU
RNAcentral lists this long non-coding RNA (544 nucleotides) under Homo sapiens (human). RNAcentral describes it as "non-protein coding lnc-ATP8B3-2:1". The stretch from base 404 to 475 matches the Rfam family "mir-1909 microRNA precursor family". Lineage: Eukaryota; Metazoa; Chordata; Mammalia; Primates; Hominidae. The record is from RNAcentral.